Molecule: ribosomal RNA, 305 nt
Filed under: uncultured eukaryote
Lineage: Eukaryota
Description: partial large subunit ribosomal RNA
Rfam family: Eukaryotic large subunit ribosomal RNA
Source: RNAcentral
AUAUUAAUAAGCGGAGGAGAAGAAAUUAACUAAGAUUGCCUUAGUAAGGGCGACUGAACCGGCAAAAGCUCGAAAUUAAAAUCGGUCAUUCAAUGAAUUACCGAAUUGUAAUCAGGGUGCCCUAAAUACGUGAAGUAAUUAAAGUGUAUCGAAAGACACGCCAUAGAGGGUAAAAGCCCCGUAAAGUUAUUUCACGAGUAACGGGAACUCGAAAAAGAGUCGUGUUGCUUGGAACUGCAGCACUAAGCGGGAGAUAUGAUUCUUCCAAAGCUAAAUAUGGAUGGGAGACCGAUAGCGCACAAGUA